This 878-nucleotide long non-coding RNA is filed under the name Citrus maxima (pomelo). RNAcentral's name for it is "long non-coding RNA (CMAX_LNC000423)". The record is from RNAcentral. Lineage: Eukaryota; Viridiplantae; Streptophyta; Magnoliopsida; Sapindales; Rutaceae.
AAACUAAAUCCUUAAAAUCCCAAAUUACAAAGAAUAAAAGAAGCCUUUGCAGCCGCAUAAACCCAGAAUCGAAGAAGCACUUGCUGGCUGCAGCAGCACAAACCCAGCUCUUACAGGCUGCAGUAGCACGAAACCAGCCAAAGGAUCAGAGAACCACUUGUAGCUGAUGAACCCGUCUUUGAGUCUCAAGUCGUCGAUGCCUUAGCUGCAUGCCAACGACGUCAGCCGCUAAGGCCGUGAGCCGCACGUUGCUACGCUUCCGGCUAAAGCCACAACAGAAGUUGAAGUCCCAAACCCAGCCGCUGCAUUUAUUUCUUUAUUGCAAGGGUUUCCAAUGGAAUUGGAUCUAUCAAAGCUUGUGAGGUGCAGAGAAAUAAGAAUAGAUAUUUAUCUUUCGAAAAAUUACAGAGAUUUGGGUCUUUUGACUUUCAAUUUUUGUCUUUCUUUUCUCCAUUUGCUGGCUUGCUGCAUUUGUUCUUAUUUGUGUGAUUUCAAUUUUGUAUUACAACUUGAAAAUGACUUGGAUUCAUCUGAUUUAUUUGAGCAAUUUCAAUAUGAUAUUACUAAUCCGAAUCCGAAUUAAUCUAAACUAUUCAUCCGAUCCGAACUUAUUCGAAUCGAUUUUGAAUUCGGAUUACAUUCGGAUGACUUUUUUACCAAUCCGAACAAUCCGAAAUCCGAUCGGAUUGAAUCGAAUCCGAUCGGAUUGAAUCGAAUCCGAUCUGUAUCUGAAUUUGCCCACCCCUAAUUUGUAGCUCUUCUAUAACUUUCAUUAUCUCACAAAAAAUGAUGAUCCAUAAUGUUUCUAUUAAUUUUAUAGAGUAAUUAUGUCACUAUAAAAUGAAAGCUUAUCGCUUUAUUUUAUAUACACUUGAAAU